RNAcentral lists this ribosomal RNA (253 nucleotides) under uncultured bacterium. RNAcentral's name for it is "partial 16S ribosomal RNA". It matches the Rfam family "Bacterial small subunit ribosomal RNA", at positions 524 to 776 of the family's 1533-position model. The record is from RNAcentral.
UACGUAGGGACCGAGCGUUGUCCGGAAUCAUUGGGCGUAAAGAGCUCGUAGGCGGCUUGUCGCGUUGUUCGUGAAAAUUUACCGCUCAACGGUGAACUUGCGGGCGAUACGGGCAGGCUAGAGUACUGCAGGGGAGACUGGAAUUCCUGGUGUAGCGGUGGAAUGCGCAGAUAUCAGGAGGAACACCGGUGGCGAAGGCGGGUCUCUGGGCCGUUACUGACGCUGAGGAGCGAAAGCGUGGGGAGCGAACAGG